Molecule: transfer RNA, 73 nt
Filed under: Stegodyphus mimosarum
Lineage: Eukaryota; Metazoa; Arthropoda; Arachnida; Araneae; Eresidae
Rfam family: tRNA
About the family: Transfer RNA (tRNA) molecules are approximately 80 nucleotides in length. Their secondary structure includes four short double-helical elements and three loops (D, anti-codon, and T loops).
Source: Rfam by way of RNAcentral
GCCUUCGUGGUGUAAUGGUCAGGGCACUCGGCCCGUAUUCGAGAGGUACGAGGUUCGAGUCCCGGCGGGGGCA